Molecule: non-coding RNA, 1487 nt
Organism: Doryrhamphus excisus (bluestripe pipefish)
Lineage: Eukaryota; Metazoa; Chordata; Actinopteri; Syngnathiformes; Syngnathidae
Source: RefSeq, a predicted model, not a curated record
AUGCUGGGUUAUUUUUUUGACCCAAUCGCUGGGUUGAGCCUGUUGGGUCAUUUAAUUGGGUUAUUUUUAUUGAGUUGGGUAUUCUGAGAACCCAAUUCGCUGGGUUAUCUCUGUUGGGUGCUGAGUUAUUUGCUGCUGGGUUGUGAUUUCCAUUAUAUUGUGCUGGGUUAUUUUGGACAACCCAAAGCGUUGGGUAGAAUUUUGAACACGCGCAAAAAAGCCCCGCCCACAAACUUACUUCGUUCGGACCCCACAUUUCAUCUGAGGAGACCAAUUUCAGCACAGAGCAAGGUUUGUUACAUGCCCACUAUUGUUUUACCGUAGAAUUGACUUUAUAUUAUUAUAUAAAGCUUCAUAAACUUGUUAAAAUGUAAGUUCGUGAAGCACUGUUGAGUACUAGCUUCAGGAAUGGAUCGGUAACCUUAGCAAACUUCCAUUCCCUCCAAAAGUGGCAAGCGAACACAUUCGCUGGCGAGCUAUGUAGGAACCAAACUAUGUUGUUGAAGUUACAAGAGACGUGCACUAUGUGUGAUAGUUAUGAGGACAACGUCAGUUAUCUCGUCAAUUUGCCAUUUUAUGUGAUAUCAAGUUAAAGAAUCUCGUGAAUUAAUACGAGCGUGCUGAUGAACCGGUGUUUUUUACGCUAGACUGCUGCAUGCUAGCGGGCUUCCGUUAGCCACGGAUAGUCCACUGUAUACUUAGCAGUUUCAACUAGUUUGGGCGCGAAUUCGACGACAGUUUUGUAAGUCGCAUAUAAAUGUAGAGAAUGCGUUUGGACUACUGAAUCUUAUUUCAUUUCAUGGUAUGUUUGUUCUUAUGGACCCUCUUUGUGAUGUUUCAGUUCGCUGAAAAGCAUCUAUGGAUGAGUUUAUCAGUUCCAAAUUGACUGAGUGGCAGCUACCAGGGCUGAUUGAAAGAUGCCAGGGGAGAAGUCGCCCUGACGCUUCUGCCCAUCCUGCUCCCUCCGCCUGUGUUUAAAAAGGGCAGGAAAUUGGUCCGGGCGAGUAUUCAGGAGGUGAAGAGAGCCUUCCUCGAUGUUAAGCCCGUCGGCGCUAACAUGGUGGAAUACUUGCAGCAGGCAGAAUCGCCUACCCAUUUGUGCUGCUGCUCACAGAGCCUCUUGUUCUAUGUAUAUAUCACUCUCUCAUAGCUGUCCCCUCACCCGUUCUUAAAAUGUUAUUUUUUUUGUACAUAAUUUGUUCAUAUGUGAAGGAAAUGUUGUGAGUUGUUAUAUUUGUAUGUUCUGGAAAUGUUGAAUUUUAAUAAAUAUUUUAUUGUUACAUUGGUGUCAUUAUCAUUGUAAUAUAUUAUUAAUAGUAUUAGCAUACAAUAAAAAUAAAUAAAUAAUAAUUAAAAUAUAUAUAUAAAUAUAUAUGGUAUAUUGGCAACCCAACUUGCUGGGUUGAAAUAACCCAGCCGUGUAGUUAAUAUGAACCCAGCGUUGGGUCAUUUGAACAACCCAAUGUACAACCCAAUUGUUGGGUUAA